UACAGAGGUCUCAAGCGUUGUUCGGAUUCAUUGGGCGUAAAGGGCGCGUAGGCGGCAAGGCAAGUCGGGUGUGAAAGCUUGGGGCUUAACCCCGAAAGGGCACUCGAAACUGCCCUGCUAGAGGGCCGGAGAGGAGAUCGGAAUUCACGGUGUAGCAGUGAAAUGCGUAGAUAUCGUAAGGAAGGCCGGUGGCGAAAGCGAGCCUCUGGACAGUUACUGACGCUGAUGCACGAAGGCCAGGGGAGCAAACGGG
Molecule: ribosomal RNA, 253 nt
Filed under: uncultured bacterium
Lineage: Bacteria
Description: partial 16S ribosomal RNA
Rfam family: Bacterial small subunit ribosomal RNA
Source: RNAcentral